CUACUCUCUCCAAGGAACUCGGCAAAUUACCACCGUAACUUCGGAAGAAGGUGGGCCCUCCGUAGGUGUAGUCGUACAGACGAAGCCGAUGAGGGUUGCAGAGAAAUGGCGGUAGCGACUGUUUACCAAAACACAGGACUCUGCGAAGGCGACAAGUCGACGUAUAGGGUCUGACUCCUGCCCGGUGCUGGAAGGUUAAGGGGAUUCGUCAGCCGCAAGGCGAAGCGAUGAUCCGAAGCCCCAGUAAACGGCGGCCGUAACAAUAACGGUCCUAAGGUAGCGAAAUUCCUUGUCGGGUAAGUUCCGACCUGCACGAAUGGAGUAACGACUUCCGCGCUGUCUCGGAGAGGGACUCAGCGAAAUUGAAAUAGCUGUGCCGAUGCAGUUUACCCGCAGCAAGACGGAAAGACCCCGUGAACCUUUACUACAACUUGACAGUGACACUAGGGAUUGACUGUGUAGGAUAGGUGGGAGCCUUUGAAACCGGGCCGCUAGGUUCGGUGGAGGCAACGGUGAAAUACCACCCUGUUGAUUUCUGGUGUCUAACCGUGUCCCAUAAUCUGGGAUCGGGACACUGUCUGGUGGGUAGUUUGACUGGGCGGUCGCCUCCCAAAGCGUAACGGAGGCGCGCGAUGGUUCCCUCAGCCCGAUUGGAAACCGGGCGGCGAGUGCAAUGGCAUAAGGGAGCUUAACUGCGAGACAGACAUGUCGAGCAGGUGCGAAAGCAGGUCAUAGUGAUCCGGUGGUUCUGAAUGGAAGGGCCAUCGCUCAACGGAUAAAAGGUACUCCGGGGAUAACAGGCUUAUCUCCUCCAAGAGUUCACAUCGACGAGGAGGUUUGGCACCUCGAUGUCGGCUCAUCGCAUCCUGGGGCUGGAGCAGGUCCCAAGGGUUUGGCUGUUCGCCAAUUAAAGCGGUACGCGAGCUGGGUUCAAAACGUCGUGAGACAGUUUGGUCCCUAUCUGCUGUGGGCGUAGGAUACUUGAGAGGAUCUGUCCUUAGUACGAGAGGACCGGGAUGGAGACACCUCUGGUGUACCAGUUGUCACGCCAGUGGCAUCGCUGGGUAGCCAUGUGUCGAUUGGAUAACCGCUGAAAGCAUCUAAGCGGGAAACCGACCUCAAGAAUAGGUAUCCCGGGGGAAACCCCCUGAAGACCCGUCGAAGACUACGACGUUGAUAGGCCGGGUGUGUAAGCGUGGCAACACGUUGAGCUAACCGGUACUAAUUGGUCGUGCGGCUUACUUU
This 1245-nucleotide ribosomal RNA is filed under the name metagenome. Its description in RNAcentral is "bacterial LSU rRNA". It matches the Rfam family "Bacterial large subunit ribosomal RNA", at positions 1696 to 2925 of the family's 2925-position model. The record is from RNAcentral.